Molecule: long non-coding RNA, 3849 nt
Filed under: Bemisia tabaci
Lineage: Eukaryota; Metazoa; Arthropoda; Insecta; Hemiptera; Aleyrodidae
Description: lncRNA ENSSSA1UGG010145
Source: RNAcentral
AUGCAAGUUGCGAAAAAAUCCCUUCAAAUGUUAAUCUCCCCGUCCAGUGUCCGUAAGUUGCAUAAAUUAGCAUCAAUUUUUCAUCAGCCUACUUUGACCCAAUUUUGGACGCUGUUAUUGAUGCGACGCACAGGCAUCAACCGUUCAAUUACUCCCCCUGAAGCGGAGUUGCCACGGACUUCGCAAUUUCACCAAUUUAUCGACCGAAGAACAUAUUCUGGAAGCAACACACGAGUUACCAUGACAAUUAAAAUAAAAGAUUUAGUUGAGAAGAUUGGUCAGUAAUUUAAAUUAAAUUAAAAGCUAAUCAAUCAGCCAAUGAGCAUUAGAAUGUAUUCAAUUAACAACUAAACUCACCUUUUAGUGCUGAAUGACACCCGAAGAGUUUUGAGGGUUAAUAGUUAUCGUAUAGUUUAGGUGACACGUCCAUGAAGCAUACGGAGCUCGAAAUCCCACAAAAUUGGAGUGAAAAUCAAAACUAGAAUAAAAUCAAACAAAAAAUAAAAAUAUGAAAGAAUUCAAUAUAAGAAAGGAGGAGCAAUUUUAACAAAAUUAAAACCAAAAUUAAGGAAAUAUAAGGCUAAAGAAGUAUAAAUACGUUUACGAGAUUCAGAUUAUGAGUACAAGACUAAGAAUUACGAUACAAUCAUUAUAUUUUUAUUACGAUAUUAAAAAUGAUCAGGGAAAGGUUGACGGCGAAGAGUUUCAGUUUGAUCAAACUAUCGAUCAAACAGUUUGUCAAUGAAGCGAAAUUGCGAUUCGAAAAAUCGAACGUCCGCUUCGAAGACCAAACUUCAUAUUUAACACAGGUUUAAUCGAAGAGUUCGAUCUUGAAGAGAAUGUUUGAUUUGACGGAUCGAAGAAUCUGUUUGACACACCGAAUAAUUUAUAUCAAUAUUGAACAUCAAAUGGAUCGCGUUAGGCAGAGAGGAACCCAGCCCACAUCAGCUUAUGUCAAAUAAUUGGGAUAUUUAAUUUUUUACAUGAAAACGGUUGUGCGGAUUUGUGUGCAAAUUUCAGCGAAUUUUCUGUGUAGUGCGAAGCAAAUUCCUUAAACUUUUCAAAGGAAUCCACACAAAAAUUCUCUGGUGAAGAAUUAAAUUUUCCAGUUGAACUAGGCAACAGCUGAUGUGGUUUGGUUCCUUUCUACUGAACGCGGUGCAAAUUUUCGGAUCAUACAAUCGAACUUUCGUUUGGGCCAAGUUUAGCAGUGGCGUGGCGUGAAUGAUCGAUUAUCGAUACUUCCCCAUUCGAAGCUAUAGUGAAGAAUCGAUUAUUAAGGCGUUCGCUGCAAACACCCUGUUUAUCGAUCCUUUUCCGUGGGUUUAAAUAGCAGAUCAAUCGAUAUAUCGCAAAGCACGCCACGCCACUGGCGUUUAGUAUAAAAGAACCAAGCCAAAUUAGCUACUGAGAAAUUUUACUAGGGAAUUUAAUUUGUUUACAAGAGGACUUUUAAGCGGAUUCCGUUGAAAAUGUUCAGGAAUUUGCUUCGUACCAGGCAGAAAAUGUGCUGACAUUAGCACGAAAAUCCGCACGACUGCUUUCGUGUAAAAAUUAAAUUGUUCGAUUCAAUUUGGCAAAAGCUGAUGUGGGUUGGUUCCUUUCUGUUCAACGCGGUCCAUUUAGCUGCAAUGGAAGUAAGACUGAAUAACUUGAAUCCACACAAACAUCGGCAGCAUUGUCCGGAAUACCCAGCCCUUGUCAAGACAUCAAAAUUCAUCGUGGGUCAGCUCAGCUUUGGAAUUCCGUGCAUUUUCAUUAGAGCCGUUUUGACGGUUGCAUGAGGGGGUUUUGAGAACGUUAACAAUUCAGCCGCUCAUUCGUGUCCGGGUUCGGCCACCCUGAUUUUCCCGCUCUCUGCGCAGGAAUCCACCCGACCAACUACGAUUAAAGCUGUCCACGUGCCUGAGUUCGCCCUUGAAAUUUCAAAAGGCCUCAUAAAUUUCAAUUUUUUUGAAAAAUUGAUUUAUUUGCCUCUUAAUUAAUUUUCUUCAUUGGGAGACUCUUCUAAUUUGGAUUAUAAUUGCCCCAACUCAUAUACAAGAGUUUUUUUCCCAUUUUAGUCUCACUUUGAGACAGUUAGCUCAACUGGCUGUGCCAUGACGGGACAACAUAACCUCAAAGAUUUAGAAAUUUCCUCUUCGAGUACCUCGACUGCGAAAUUAUGCAUGAAGAGCCUAUGGAAGAGCCCAGUACUCAGUAUGUAACGUUGGAGUACAUUUUUCUGCUGUUUUUUUUUUGUUUUUUUUUUAUGCUGUUUUCUUGUUUUAUUUUUGUUUUUUUUCAAAGUAUGGUAGGGAUUUUAUGAUCAUUUUUUUUAGUUGACCGGCAAAAAUCUAUGGCACGAAUGCAGACAAAACAAAUAAUGAUGAUUGCAUCUUUUCGAUUUUAGCCGCCAUUUUGCUGUGUGACGUCAAGAGGGCAUGCGACUCCCUAAUACUCCCCUUCAUUAUAACAAUAAAUAUUAAAAUGAAAAUGGAAUAAAAAUUGCAUAUUCGUCUUGUUAUGGCAAGCAGUAUGGGCUGAAAAAUUACUAGAAUCCAAAAAUUACUGAAAAUCAAGCCUAGAUUUCAAUUUUUCACGAUUUCAUUGAAAUUUCAUGAAAUUUCACGUGAAAUUUCAAAUGAAAUUUCAAAAUCUUAUAUUUCAUGAAAUUUUCCAUCUCAGCCACGUGCUCAGAUACUCAGAUACUCAGAGACUCAGAGAGUGAGUAAUUAAGGAUCGACGCUCAAUCGUGGUUUAUACGAUCGUCGUCCCGUGAGUUAUGGCCCUCCUGGAUCCGAAAUGCACGGAAACAUCUCUUGUCUAACUAGAUGGAGUCCACUGCCGUGCUAAGGAAAAACGCCGUAUGUACAUUUAUGAGUUGCCAAAUUUCCGCGUAUAAAACAUGUAUUUUCGAGGAGAUAUCUUCUCCUGACACUUUCGGAUAAUAUAGAUCUAAUUACAAAGAAAAUUCUCUGCAUAAUUGAUUGGAAAAUGUUCGCGAGUUUUCCUAAAAUUUCGUAUUUAAUCAAAGUAAAUUUGGCAACUGACGAAGGUUCAUACGGCUUUUUCCUUAGCACGGCAGUCCUGGCCAUACGGGUUUCUGGGGGAAAACUUUAUCAAUUGAUUCCCAAGAGGACCGCGUUUAGCAUGAAGGAACCAAGCCACAUCAGCCAUCGCCAAAUUUAACUGGGCAAUUUACUUUUUACAAGAGAAUGUUUCUGCGGUUUCCUUCGAAAAUGUUAAGGUAUUUGCUUCACACUAUACAGAAAAUUCACUGAAGUUUGCAUAAAAAUCCACACAACCGUUUUCAUAUAAAAAAUUGAAUUGCUCAAUUAAAAUUGGGGAUAGUUGAUGUGGCUUGGUUCUUUUCUGUUUAACGUGGUCCAAGUAUGCUUCAACGCUGAAUGUAAAUCUUGAAUUCAUGUAAGAAUAUAUUUCUAGUAACAGGCUAGUGACGAAGUUAUUCCCUUCAAACGAAGAUAAUUAAAGACUUUAAUUAGAAAAAAAUCAUCAAAAAAUUGCAUACUGACAAACUUUCCCCAUUUGACAUUCCUCACCUCCUCAUUUCAAAUUAUCCGCCCCAUCAGCUAAAGUACCAAGAAUAUAAGUAGGACUUAACGCGAACACAAAAUAAAAUGGAGAUACGUGGUUUUUCCUAAAUCUAAUCUUCUUAAAAUCCUAUAGUAGAUUUUAAGGACGAUUUCACGCACACAUUUUUCACGGUACGAGCACCGACCUCGGAAGAAUCCGGACUUAUCACACACCAAGUUUGUACAAAAAUAUGUCAUGUGUGACUUUCAAAUUUGCACAUUAAUUUAUUUAGGACUUCAAUUUACGCCCACGCAUCUGCUUCACCCUCAUCAC